RNAcentral lists this ribosomal RNA (473 nucleotides) under uncultured bacterium. Its description in RNAcentral is "SSU rRNA". It matches the Rfam family "Bacterial small subunit ribosomal RNA", at positions 26 to 518 of the family's 1533-position model. The record is from RNAcentral.
AGGAUGAACGCUGGCGGCGUGCCUAACACAUGCAAGUCGAACGUCCUGUCUCGCAAGAGGCAGGGAGUGGCGGACGGGUGAGUACCACGUGGGUCAUCUACCGUGAGGUGAGGAAUACCGGCGAGAAAUCGCCGACAAGACCGCAUAGGCUCGAUGCAAGUCGAGCAAAGCUCUUUCGAGAGAGGGAGCGCCACACGAGGAGCCUGCGCCCGAUUAGCUAGCUGGUGGAGUAACGGUUCACCAGGGCGACGAUCGGUAGCUGGUCUGAGAGGACGAUCAGCCACACUGGGAUUGAGAACGGCCCAGACUCCUACGGGGGGCAGCAGUGAGGAAUUUUCCGCAAUGGAGGCAACUCUGACGGAGCAACGCCGCGUGCAGGAGGAAGGUUUUCGGAUCGUAAACUGCUUUUCUCGGGGACGAGCAAGGACGGUACCCGAGGAAGAAGCCCCGGCUAACUACGUGCCAGCAGCCGC